UCAAGUUCCUCCUCAUGAUAUCAGCCAAUGACAAGCAAGUGCUCUCACUGUCUUGUACAUGUUUAAAAUGUACACUCCGCCUGACGGCUCUGCAUUUUGCAUAUCGGGUUUUUAAACACAGCGCAGUGUAAAUAAGAAUGAUAGAAAUAGAAACCGAAAGAAACAAACUGAUGACAUCGCCGCUCGAGCUUUUUAUUACGCAGAAAUGCUUUUCAUCGUAACCUUCGUUUUUCUUUUAGCUUUAUCCUGGGCUCUUCCAAAGGAUUUUGUAAUUCAGUUCGAGCGCAGAGUGUUGGUAAACGGGACGGUCGUGGAGAGGAUCCUUCUCAGUCAUCCACAUUUAAAGGGACAGUUCGACAAGCAACCUGUUGUCAGACCCAUUCAAGAUGAAGUCCUGAAAAUGAUGGUGGAGAAUGAUCAUGCUACAGCAAUUUUUGGCACAUAUAUACGUUUGAGGGAAUGCAAGAUGAGAGGUUAUCAGGUCCUGCAGCUGUCCGACCGGUUUCAGCUCAAUGGCAGAGAUUGUUUGACUUUAGAUCCAGAAAGUGAUUCGUGGACAGUGUUGAUGCCAGAGGCGCAUGAUCUAAAACAGUCAUGGACGCUUGAGCACACGAGUCUAGAGAAGGUCCACCUAAAAGAAGAAUGUGAGGAAUUCAUGAAGCAGAUGAAUGACGCCCAGGAUCAAGAAGUUUUUUCCAGUACACUUUUGGCUUGGUGUGUUAAGAGUGAUGGCUCCAGUUCUGGCCACUUUUCUCUUCAUUGGAUUCGUCUUUAUAAGCCACCUUAUCUUCAAACGACAUGGUCAACAGCCAGGAGGUGUUUUAGGCUCAGUAAUCCACUAUCCAGCCCAUCAUUUUGAUGUGCCAUUAGACGGAUAGAGUCACAAGGACAUCUCUCAAGUUCCAGUGCUGAAGGGUCAUUAUUAGCAAUCACCUAACCUGCCUGACCACAUUAAAGAGAGUCAACUCUUUCUCCUGAUUGCAAAAGUCUUGGACUGAUUUGAAAUUUCAGUAAUAAAUUUGUUCCAAUUUAUAUAUCCAGUGUAUGAAAGGAAAGGUCUUUGAUUAAAAUGACCUUGAAAGCUUAGUUAUUCAAAUUAUUUUGAUGAUAUUGUAUGCACAUAUUGUUACAAAAUGUUCUACAACAAUGCAACUAAUUGAUAUGCUACUCUUUUCUGUAUAACACAAUCUGAUUAAAUGUCAGCUAGAUAUACUUAUUUUUUUAACAUUUGUUUAAAAUGUUGUGCUUUUUUUAUUUUCUUUCACAAUGUAAAACAGCAGAUAUCAUGUUUAAAUGGAGGCUUGGGAGGGUUACUUUAAAAAUGUAUUCCGUUACAGUUACAAAUUACUUCAUAAAAAAAAGUAUUCAGUAACGUAAUCCAAGUACCACAAUAUGAAUGGGUCUCAACAAUAAAAAUAUUUUAAAAAUCUGAUAAAUUAUCUAUUGCAAUAUUAUUAUCAUUGUUGUUGUUUAGAGCUUAAAUAUAUAAAAAUCACAUCAGAUCAUAACCAAACUGAACAAACUCGGAUCAAACAUUUCUGUUCAUGUUUGUUCUGCUUUAAUUUUAAUGUUUAGCAUUUUGAUUACUUUUAAAAACUAUUAAACUAAGCAAUCAUGUCUAAUUUCCCCAACUUGGGAAUACACAGCCCUAUAUAUAUAUGUGUGUGUGUGUGUGUGUGUGUGUGUAAAGGGCUAUUCAGACAUCUAGUGGGUACAGUAUGGUAUUACAGAUUAUUGUUUUAGUCCUUUGAUAAAGAAAGUGUUUUCGUAGCUGAAAGGCAGAGUUUGCACUGUACAACCAUGUCGUUUGCAUUUUCUUCUUUGAAAACAAAAUCGCAGCGAAAUUUCGAUGAAUUGAAAGCGUUUUUCCCCGCGGGCAGCAUCGUUUCAACUAGCAGUAGUGAUUCAAUCUGCGUCUGAGAUUGUAGACGGGUGUUAUUUGCGCAUGCACCAGCGGGUGGCUCGCGCGAGUCAUCACUGGCAACAGAACCAGGAAAUACUGUAGCCUAUAAUCAAGUAGCGCUUAAUACGUGUUAUUAUGGCAAAAUAAUGAUUUAUUUAGUUUUAAAUGAAACGAUUGUAAUCCUGAUAGUAUCCCCCCUUUUUUCAAAAUGUAACUGUAAUCUGAUUAGGCUACUACGUUUUUUGACGUAACUGUAACGAAUUACAGUUACUGGAUUUUUGUAUCCUGAUUACGUAACGCCGUUACAUGUAUUCCGUUACUCCCAACCCUGUUUAAAUGUAUCUGUAUACCAAAAGAUUUUUUGUGUCUGACACUAGCUGUAAUUGUAUUGUAAAUUCUUGCAAAAAGAUCAAACCCAGCAAAUAACCAAAUCAAACUUAUCUCAUGAUAUAUUCACUGUGCUUUUUAUUUAUGUAAUAAAGAUGGAAUAAGUUUA
Ctenopharyngodon idella (grass carp) is the source of this 2399-nucleotide long non-coding RNA. RefSeq lists it as uncharacterized. Lineage: Eukaryota; Metazoa; Chordata; Actinopteri; Cypriniformes; Xenocyprididae. The record is from RefSeq and is a predicted model, not a curated record. The transcript has 7 exons.